This 1170-nucleotide long non-coding RNA is filed under the name Oreochromis niloticus (Nile tilapia). Its description in RNAcentral is "lncRNA (ENSONIG00000032128.1)". The record is from RNAcentral. Lineage: Eukaryota; Metazoa; Chordata; Actinopteri; Cichliformes; Cichlidae.
GGGCAUUCGGAGGGGAGGCAUCGAACAAGAUAUCACAAGCUGUGCUGCCCUGCCUGGGAAGCUGGACACACUUGGAUUGAGCUGAGCUUGAAACAUCUGUCAGCACUCCGGACUCCGCUGGCGAGGAAGAGAGAGAGCGAGAGAGAGAGAGAGAGCAGAGGGCCCUGGUAUGUAGCGCAGGCCCUGGCGCAGGAAUCGCUGGAGCUGCUUAGCCUGGCACGGCUGAUUUGUUUAUUUGCCCUGACCUCGCGUUCGCGCCGAGGUUACGGGGACCUAGUGAAAGGAACCAUUGUGCUGUGGGGGGAAAAAAAAUCUGUUACAAAUAUUUACCAUGGAGGGAAUGCAAAGCCGUGGCCUGCAGCCAGCCAGACUCAAGCUGUAAAAUUCACUGCAUUGCAUUUUUUGAAUUAGCUCCCCCUCACCACCUCCAUCCCUUUUUAACCGGGGUUAAAAUUAUACCCCUUACAUUUUUAUUAAUGAGAUCACGCUGUCACAGAUUAUUAGACGUUUAAUAGCCUCAUGAUCAGGAUCCAAUGAGUUCCUCCAGCCCACGUUUAUCCCAUAACUUAGCAUUUUAACAUAUGGCGUGUGCACCAGGAUGCUGUGAUUAUACAAUAAUGACUUUACUGCGUCUGUGCCUUCCUAACAAUUGUGUUUCCUCUUAAUUUUGUGUAUUUUCAGUAACAAAUUUUCCUUCCCCGGCGUCUAGUUUGUGUAACCACAUUUGACUAAACUACCACGCCGAUGUUUUUCUUGCAGAAAAAUCUGGAGCACAUCCCCACACUGCAUUUCUUAUUCCGCAGGGUCCCCCUGUUAGGUCAGUAGUAACAAAUGCUUUUUCAAAAAGGCUGCAUAAAUUCCCUUUUCUCCUCAUAUGUUUUUUUUUUUUCUUUUUCUUGAAAAUGCCAUAUUGGUUUUAGCUGGAAUAAAUCUGCCGGCUUCCAUCAUGCUUGCCUUUUUUUUUUUUACCCUUGCUGCCGGACCAGGCGGACGCCCUCGCUGGCGCAUUGACAUGCAACAAAGCUAAUGGUGGCCGGGACAGGAGGGCCUAAUCUUCACUAACUGACAAGAUUUAAAUUGAGGAGACAUCUUCCGCUGAUUAGCUCCCACACCCACAAUUAUCCAACUGGGGUGUCAAGCAAGGUUUAACAUCUCCACUGAUUCUGCUCU